This 1432-nucleotide ribosomal RNA is filed under the name uncultured organism. RNAcentral's name for it is "16S ribosomal RNA". It matches the Rfam family "Bacterial small subunit ribosomal RNA". The record is from RNAcentral.
CAGGCUUAACACAUGCAAGUCGAGGGGCAUCAGGAAGAAAGCUUGCUUUCUUUGCUGGCGACCGGCGCACGGGUGAGUAACACGUAUCCAACCUGCCCUUUACUCGGGGAUAGCCUUUCGAAAGAAAGAUUAAUACCCGAUGGCAUAAUGAUUCCGCAUGGUUUCAUUAUUAAAGGAUUCCGGUAAAGGAUGGGGAUGCGUUCCAUUAGGUUGUUGGUGAGGUAACGGCUCACCAAGCCUUCGAUGGAUAGGGGUUCUGAGAGGAGGGUCCCCCACAUUGGAACUGAGACACGGUCCAAACUCCUACGGGAGGCAGCAGUGAGGAAUAUUGGUCAAUGGGCGCUAGCCUGAACCAGCCAAGUAGCGUGAAGGAUGAAGGCUCUAUGGGUCGUAAACUUCUUUUAUAUAAGAAUAAAGUGCAGUAUGUAUACUGUUUUGUAUGUAUUAUAUGAAUAAGGAUCGGCUAACUCCGUGCCAGCAGCCGCGGUAAUACGGAGGAUCCGAGCGUUAUCCGGAUUUAUUGGGUUUAAAGGGAGCGUAGGUGGACUGGUAAGUCAGUUGUGAAAGUUUGCGGCUCAACCGUAAAAUUGCAGUUGAUACUGUCAGUCUUGAGUACAGUAGAGGUGGGCGGAAUUCGUGGUGUAGCGGUGAAAUGCUUAGAUAUCACGAAGAACUCCGAUUGCGAAGGCAGCUCACUGGACUGCAACUGACACUGAUGCUCGAAAGUGUGGGUAUCAAACAGGAUUAGAUACCCUGGUAGUCCACACAGUAAACGAUGAAUACUCGCUGUUUGCGAUAUACAGUAAGCGGCCAAGCGAAAGCAUUAAGUAUUCCACCUGGGGAGUACGCCGGCAACGGUGAAACUCAAAGGAAUUGACGGGGGCCCGCACAAGCGGAGGAACAUGUGGUUUAAUUCGAUGAUACGCGAGGAACCUUACCCGGGCUUAAAUUGCAGUGGAAUGAUGUGGAAACAUGUCAGUGAGCAAUCACCGCUGUGAAGGUGCUGCAUGGUUGUCGUCAGCUCGUGCCGUGAGGUGUCGGCUUAAGUGCCAUAACGAGCGCAACCCUUAUCUUUAGUUACUAACAGGUUAUGCUGAGGACUCUAGAGAGACUGCCGUCGUAAGAUGUGAGGAAGGUGGGGAUGACGUCAAAUCAGCACGGCCCUUACGUCCGGGGCUACACACGUGUUACAAUGGGGGGUACAGAAGGCAGCUAGCGGGUGACCGUAUGCUAAUCCCAAAAUCCUCUCUCAGUUCGGAUCGAAGUCUGCAACCCGACUUCGUGAAGCUGGAUUCGCUAGUAAUCGCGCAUCAGCCACGGCGCGGUGAAUACGUUCCCGGGCCUUGUACACACCGCCCGUCAAGCCAUGGGAGCCGGGGGUACCUGAAGUACGUAACCGCAAGGAUCGUCCUAGGGUAAAACUGGUGACUGG